AUGCCGCACUCUGGAGAGCGACAUCCGCUAUUGCAAGGCAAUGGUGAGCAUGUCCACCGAAGGGGCGCACGAAGCACCACGCUUCGUAAUCUCUCAGGUAUCGAGGACAGAGGGGUCAUC
Molecule: non-coding RNA, 120 nt
Filed under: Cupriavidus metallidurans
Lineage: Bacteria; Pseudomonadati; Pseudomonadota; Betaproteobacteria; Burkholderiales; Burkholderiaceae
Also listed under: 1 other name
Description: Glycine sequence
Rfam family: Glycine riboswitch aptamer
About the family: This family represents the bacterial glycine riboswitch.
Source: RNAcentral